ACAUGUAGGUAUCUUCCCUUUGGUGAGGAAUAACACGAGGAAACUUGUGCUAAUACCUCAUAAGUCUUUACGGAGAAAGCUUUAUGCGCCGAAGGAUGAGCCUGCACUUGAUUAGUUUGUUGGUGGGGUAAUGGCCUACCAAGACUUUGAUCUAUAGCUGAUCUGAGAGGAUGAUCAGCCACAUUGGGACUGAGACACGGCCCAAACUCCUACGGGAGGCAGCAGUAGGGAAUAUUGCACAAUGGAGGAAACUCUGAUGCAGCGAUGCCGCGUGAGUGAAGAAGGCCUUUGGGUUGUAAAGCUCUUUCGUCGGGGAAGAAAAUGACUGUACCCGAAUAAGAAGGUCCGGCUAACUUCGUGCCAGCAGCCGCGGUAAUACGAAGGGACCUAGCGUAGUUCGGAAUUACUGGGCUUAAAGAGUUCGUAGGUGGUUAAAAAAGUUGGUGGUGAAAUCCCAGAGCUUAACUCUGGAACUGCCAUCAAAACUUUUUAGCUAGAGUAUGAUAGAGGAAAGCAGAAUUUCUAGUGUAGAGGUGAAAUUCGUAGAUAUUAGAAAGAAUACCAAUUGCGAAGGCAGCUUUCUGGAUCAUUACUGACGCUGAGGAACGAAAGCAUGGGUAGCGAAGAGGAUUAGAUACCCUCGUAGUCCAUGCCGUAAACGAUGUGUGUUAGACGUUGGAAAUUUAUUUUCAGUGUCGCAGCGAAAGCAUUAAACACACCGCCUGGGGAG
This 730-nucleotide ribosomal RNA is filed under the name uncultured Pelagibacteraceae bacterium. Its description in RNAcentral is "bacterial SSU rRNA". It matches the Rfam family "Bacterial small subunit ribosomal RNA", at positions 113 to 880 of the family's 1533-position model. The record is from RNAcentral. Lineage: Bacteria; Pseudomonadati; Pseudomonadota; Alphaproteobacteria; Candidatus Pelagibacterales; Candidatus Pelagibacteraceae.